CCGAUGGUACUGCAGGAGGGAUCCUGUGGGAGAGUAGGACGCCGCCGGAC
Molecule: ribosomal RNA, 50 nt
Filed under: Actinopolymorpha cephalotaxi
Lineage: Bacteria; Bacillati; Actinomycetota; Actinomycetes; Propionibacteriales; Actinopolymorphaceae
Source: RNAcentral